AUUGAACGCUGGCGGCAUGCCUUACACAUGCAAGUCGAACGGUAACAGGUCUUCGGAUGCUGACGAGUGGCGAACGGGUGAGUAAUACAUCGGAACGUGCCUAGUAGUGGGGGAUAACUACUCGAAAGAGUGGCUAAUACCGCAUGAGAUCUACGGAUGAAAGCAGGGGAUCGCAAGACCUUGUGCUACUAGAGCGGCCGAUGGCAGAUUAGGUAGUUGGUGGGAUAAAAGCUUACCAAGCCGACGAUCUGUAGCUGGUCUGAGAGGACGAUCAGCCACACUGGGACUGAGAAACGGCCCAGACUCCGACGGGAGGGAGCAGUUGUGAAUUUUGGACAAUGGGCGGAAGCCUGAUCCAGCAAUGCCGCGUGCAGGAUGAAGGCCUUCGGGUUGUAAACUGCUUUUGUACGGAACGAAAAGCCCCGGGUUAAUACCCUGGGGUCAUGACGGUACCGUAAGAAUAAGCACCGGCUAACUACGUGCCAGCCGCCGCGGUAA
RNAcentral lists this ribosomal RNA (498 nucleotides) under uncultured bacterium. Its description in RNAcentral is "partial 16S ribosomal RNA". It matches the Rfam family "Bacterial small subunit ribosomal RNA", at positions 30 to 523 of the family's 1533-position model. The record is from RNAcentral.